Molecule: long non-coding RNA, 717 nt
Organism: Clarias gariepinus (North African catfish)
Lineage: Eukaryota; Metazoa; Chordata; Actinopteri; Siluriformes; Clariidae
Exons: 3
Source: RefSeq, a predicted model, not a curated record
GUAAGUGCACAUGCAGGGGGAGGAGUCAACAUCAAGUGCAGAUAUGAAGAUAAAUACAAAUACAAAAUCAAAUCUUUCUGUAAGAUCGAGACAGAUCAUAGCUGUUUAAAUCAAAUAACAACAGAACUAAACAGUGAAUGGUCACAUGAUGGCAGAUUCUCAGUUCAUGACGACAGAAGUUCAGGAUUCUUCAGUGUGUUUAUCAGAGAGCUGAUUACGGAGGACACUGGAACAUACGCGUGUGCUGUUGAUGUGUCUGAUAGAAUACAGACCAACACUGUAAUGUUCCUGGAUGUAAGAAAUUAUCUGUCCUACGAGAAGUCCAUCAGUGAGACUGUCCAUGUGGGAGGAGAUUUGAACUUCAGCUGUAAAUACCGAGAAUCCCUCAGGAGUUAUUCCAAGUUUGUCUGCAAAAUGAGGCUGCAAGAUUUUGCUUGUUCUUAUAAAAAAUCUAUUAAUGAAAGUGGAAAAUACAUAAAUGUGGGGAAAUUCUCCCUGUAUGAUGACAGAGAAAGACAAACCUUGAGUGUGAGUAUUAGAAAUGUAACUGAGCGAGACUCUGGUGAAUACUGGUGUGGAGCUGAAGCAGCCUGGGAAUCUGAUGAUGGAUACAAGGUUUAUUUCACACAGAUCAACCUGACAGUUACUGAUUCAGAUCCAGUUUCAACCUGGAAGCCAACAGAACCUUCAUCAUCAUCAUCAUCAUCAUCAUCAUCA